RNAcentral lists this ribosomal RNA (250 nucleotides) under uncultured bacterium. RNAcentral describes it as "partial 16S ribosomal RNA". It matches the Rfam family "Bacterial small subunit ribosomal RNA", at positions 524 to 773 of the family's 1533-position model. The record is from RNAcentral.
UACGUAGGGGGCAAGCGUUGUCCGGAAUUACUGGGCGUAAAGGGAGCGUAGGCGGUUUGUUAAGUUGGAUGUGAAAUACCCGGGCUUAACCUGGGAGGUGCAUACAAAACUGGCAGACUUGAGUGUGGGAGAGGAAAGUGGAAUUCCUAGUGUAGCGGUGAAAUGCGUAGAUAUUAGGAGGAACACCAGUGGCGAAGGCGACUUUCUGGACCAUAACUGACGCUGAGGCUCGAAAGCGUGGGGAGCAAAC